UACGUAGGCAGCGAGCGUUGUUCGGAGUUACUGGGCGUAAAGGGUGUGUAGGCGGUUGUCUAAGUUUGGUGUGAAAUCUCCCGGCUCAACUGGGAGGGUGCGCCGAAUACUGAAUGACUAGAGUGCGGGAGAGGAAAGUGGAAUUCCUGGUGUAGCGGUGAAAUGCGUAGAUAUCAGGAGGAACACCGGUGGUGUAGACGGCUUUCUGGACCGUAACUGACGCUGAGACACGAAAGCGUGGGUAGCAAACAGG
RNAcentral lists this ribosomal RNA (253 nucleotides) under uncultured bacterium. RNAcentral's name for it is "partial 16S ribosomal RNA". It matches the Rfam family "Bacterial small subunit ribosomal RNA", at positions 524 to 776 of the family's 1533-position model. The record is from RNAcentral.